UCUGUUGCCCAGGCUGGAGUACAGUGGGGUGAUCUCAGCUCACUGCAACCUCCUCCUCCUAGGUUCAAGUGAUUCUUCUGCCUUAGCCUUCCAAGUAGCUGGAGUUACAGGUGCUCGCCACCAUGCCUAGCUAAUUUUUACAUUUUUGGUAGAGAUGGGGUUUCACCACAUUGGCCAGGCUGGUCUCGAACUCCUGACCUCAAGUGGUCCACCCACCUCGGCCUCUUAAAGUGCUGAGAUUGCAGGCGUGAGCCACCGCACCUGGUCUGAAGAUCCCGUCUCUAAGAUCACAUUCUGAGGGUCUCUUCUGCAGGGUCCCCAUGAAUUGUGGCUGAAGUUGUGCACAAACAAGUAUCUCCAGUGACAGGAGUGCCUUCUGAGGCAGCCCAUUGCAUCUUCAUCUGCUGACACUCUGCUAGGCUGACUUCUGUAGUUUUCACCACUGAUCUUCAGUCCACCUCACAGAGCUCUAUAAAACGCUUGAAUCCUCUUUACAUCAUAGACUUUCAGCUACUUGAAGAUAGCCAUCAGCCGCUACGUGACUCUUUGCUCCAGGUAAAAUCUCCAGUUAUAGCAGCUGUUCUUCAUAUGGCCUAGUGUCUAAUGCAUUUGCUCUCCUG
This 620-nucleotide long non-coding RNA is filed under the name Pan troglodytes (chimpanzee). Its description in RNAcentral is "long non-coding RNA NONPTRT007082". The record is from RNAcentral. Lineage: Eukaryota; Metazoa; Chordata; Mammalia; Primates; Hominidae.